CAUCUUCAGGGCGGGGCGCAAUUCCCCACCGGCGGUAUAGCCCGCGAGCCGAAAGGCAGAUCCGGUGAAACUCCGGGGCCGACAGUAUAGUCUGGAUGAAAGAAGAU
This 107-nucleotide non-coding RNA is filed under the name human gut metagenome. RNAcentral describes it as "FMN riboswitch (RFN element)". It matches the Rfam family "FMN riboswitch aptamer (RFN element)". From Rfam's summary of the family: The RFN element is a highly conserved domain that is found frequently in the 5'-untranslated regions of prokaryotic mRNAs that encode for flavin mononucleotide (FMN) biosynthesis and transport proteins. The record is from RNAcentral.